GUCUAUGGACUCGACUCUUGCACAUCUACGUCUUAGGUUUGCGCCAAUUCGUGGUAAGCUUGGGUCAUAGAGACUCAUAGGUGUUAUAAAGACUCGCUGGUGUUUGUCUCCUUGAGGCAUACGGCUUUAACCAAAACUCUCAAAGUUUGACCUCAAAUCAGGUAGGAGUACCCGCUGAACUUAAGCAUAUCAAUAAGCGGAGGAAAAGAAACCAACCGGGAUUGCCUUAGUAACGGCGAGUGAAGCGGCAAAAGCUCAAAUUUGAAAUCUGGCGUCUUCGACGUCCGAGUUGUAAUUUGAAGAAGGCGACUUUGUAGCUGGUCCUUGUCUAUGUUCCUUGGAACAGGACGUCAUAGAGGGUGAGAAUCCCGUGUGGCGAGGAUCCCAGUUAUUUGUAAAGUGCUUUCGACGAGUCGAGUUGUUUGGGAAUGCAGCUCUAAGUGGGUGGUAAAUUCCAUCUAAAGCUAAAUAUUGGCGAGAGACCGAUAGCGAACAAGUACAGUGAUGGAAAGAUGAAAAGAACUUUGAAAAGAGAGUGAAAAAGUACGUGAAAUUGUUGAAAGGGAAGGGCAUUUGAUCAGACAUGGCGUUUGCUUCGGCUUUCGCUGGGCCAGCAUCAGUUUUAGCGGUUGGAUAAAUCCUCGGGAAUGUGGCUCUGCUUCGGUAGAGUGUUAUAGCCCGUGGGAAUACAGCCAGCUGGGACUGAGGAUUGCGACUUUUGUCAAGGAUGCUGGCGUAAUGGUUAAAUGCCGCCCGUCUUGAAACACGGACCAAGGAGUCUAACGUCUAUGCGAGUGUUUGGGUGUAAAACCCGUACGCGUAA
This 823-nucleotide ribosomal RNA is filed under the name Kluyveromyces marxianus. RNAcentral describes it as "LSU rRNA". The stretch from base 148 to 823 matches the Rfam family "Eukaryotic large subunit ribosomal RNA", at positions 1 to 719 of the family's 3401-position model. Lineage: Eukaryota; Fungi; Ascomycota; Saccharomycetes; Saccharomycetales; Saccharomycetaceae. The record is from RNAcentral.